This 521-nucleotide long non-coding RNA is filed under the name Setaria viridis. Its description in RNAcentral is "long non-coding RNA (SVIR_LNC008000)". The record is from RNAcentral. Lineage: Eukaryota; Viridiplantae; Streptophyta; Magnoliopsida; Poales; Poaceae.
AGUAAUCCAAGAAUCAAUUUCAUGCCAUCUUGUUCCAUCCCGUUUGGAUUUGCAAUUUUUGGUUGUGUUCUUCACGUUCUACGUUUCUUCCCUCUCACCCCUUUCACGUUUUUGUUCGAUUCAUGACUUGUGGGGUGUUUUGAGUCAAACCAAUUAUUUGAAGAUGAAUUAGAAUGUGAGUUGAACAUUUCCACCAAAGGGAUUUGAUUGAAACCUCACGAGUUCAUAGAUCGGGAUGAUUCAAGUUUUGGGGUUGAGAAAAUAGAGUUCUUCACAAGAUUUGAAAUUCACCUUGAUUGGCAAAUCUUUUGGGGAUAUUUUCUUAGGAUAAGCUUCUUUACUAUGUUGUGAAGCUAUGGUUCAAAUUUUGUAAUUUUUGGAGGUUGUUUGACCCCGUUUUGGAUUUUUCUACCAUCUUCGCGCAGGCUGUUUUGGAAUUCCGGAAAUCUCCGAACAUAAUUCCGAACCUCGGAAAUUUCCGCACGUCCAUAAUUUUCUGAAGCUUCCUCCGGAUUUUUCCA